UCUUGGUCAUUUAGAGGAAGUAAAAGUCGUAACAAGGUUUCCGUAGGUGAACCUGCGGAAGGGAUCAUUAGUGAAUUUUGUGGCCUUCAAGGCUCACAUUCUCUAUCCUUUACACACCUGUGCACCCUUCUGAAGCGGAGAGUUAUUAGGCAUUGGCCGGGCGCCUCCCUUCGGUUAUUAUAUCAAACUCAAACUACGUUUACUAGAAUGUAUACCGUCUUGUUGUAACGACAAGUACAAUCCAAUAAAACUUUCAGCAACGGAUCUCUUGGCUCAGGCAUCGAUGAAGAACGCAGCGAAAUGCGAUAAGUAAUGUGAAUUGCAGAAUCCAGUGAAUCAUCGAAUCUUUGAACGCAACUUGCGCCCUCUGGUAUUCCGGAGGGCAUGCCUGUUUGAGUGUCGUGAACACCUCAACCCUCUAAUGUUUUUGCAUUGAAGGCGUUGGUAGUGAGCGCUGCCGGUCUUUGGAUCGGCUCGCUUUAAAAUAAUUAGCUGGAUCCAUUCUGACCUGGUUCUACUCGGCGUAAUAAGUUAUUAUCGUCGAGGACGCCUAGCCUUCUAGGCAGGCGGCCACAGUAAGGGUGUUUGAACCGCUUCCAACACGUCUUGCUCUUGUAGCAAACACUUGAACCUCUGACCUCAAAUCAGGCAGGACUACCCGCUGAACUUAAGCAUAUCAAUAAGCGGAGGA
RNAcentral lists this ribosomal RNA (691 nucleotides) under uncultured fungus. RNAcentral's name for it is "eukaryotic LSU rRNA". The stretch from base 249 to 402 matches the Rfam family "5.8S ribosomal RNA". The record is from RNAcentral. Lineage: Eukaryota; Fungi.